AUUGAACGCUGGCGGAAUGCUUUACACAUGCAAGUCGAACGGCAGCACGGGGCAACCUGGUGGCGAGUGGCGAACGGGUGAGUAAUAUAUCGGAACGUGCCCAAUCGUGGGGGAUAACGUAGCGAAAGUUACGCUAAUACCGCAUACGAUCUACGGAUGAAAGCGGGGGAUCGCAAGACCUCGCGCGAAUGGAGCGGCCGAUAUCAGAUUAGGUAGUUGGUGGGGUAAAGGCUCACCAAGCCAACGAUUUGUAGCUGGUCUGAGAGGACGACCAGCCACACUGGAACUGAGACACGGUCCAGACUCCUACGGGAGGCAGCAGUGGGGAAUUUUGGACAAUGGGCGCAAGCCUGAUCCAGCCAUUCCGCGUGCAGGAUGAAGGCCUUCGGG
RNAcentral lists this ribosomal RNA (390 nucleotides) under uncultured bacterium. RNAcentral describes it as "bacterial SSU rRNA". It matches the Rfam family "Bacterial small subunit ribosomal RNA", at positions 30 to 422 of the family's 1533-position model. The record is from RNAcentral.